GUUUUCUAGGUGUUGGGUUAAAACUGCUGGGUUAUUAUGUUGGGUUGUUUGAAGAGGCUCACGUGCUUCGCGCCCUUGAUGUUUGAAUGUGCUCAGCAAUGGUCGUCGUGAAAGGACAGAGUCACUGAAGCAGUUGUUUCAAGAGUGUGCAGAGUUUUAACGUCCAUCCAUUGAUGAGGCUAGCAAGACCUUCAAACAACUUCAGCCAAUUGCAACAAAUGUGGUGGAAUUUCUUCCCUGGACAGAAUCCUCGAAACCCUUUCCUUUCGUCCUGGCCAUGGGAAACAUGCAGCAGAUCUCUCAAUCUUUUUUCUCAAUCAGUCUCUCUGAAUACGGAAGUGACUUAAACUGCAAUUCGGCCAAGAUGGCGACAGCACGCACCGCCUACUUUAAGCUUCAAAAAUGCUCUUCACAAACCAAUGGGUGACAUCACGGACACUACUUGCAUAUUUUUUACAGUCUCUGGUUUAAAGGCAUUUUAAGUGCUUGAAAAUAAAUACCCCAGGCAAUGUGCUUCUAUGGGAAUUCCUGUAGUCUGUCAUUUUUCAAAUGGAUGAAUCCCCUGCUGUUCGAUUCCUUUGUACAUCUUUGUUCGCGACGAGUAACUUUAAUAAAUGAAGUAUUUUUAGUCAAAUACAUUCCAUUCUGUGAAACUUAAAACAUUUGUUCUUUAAAAAAACUUUACACAUCUAUGAAUGAUUUUACUUUUAAUUUAACAAUUACAUUGUUUCUUUUUUACACUGCUGUAGUUUUGUUUAUGUACAUUUCAGUAUUUCAUUUAUAUACUGUAAAAUUACAAAUUCUGUCUUAAAUUCAAACGAAUUGAUUCAACCUGUUACAUUGUUACUUCAAUGUGCAUAUUUUAUGAUAUUUUAUAAAUAUAUUUAUACUUGGGUCAGUAAGCAGUCCUUUAAAUGAUUUUGCAACUUACAACUGUAAAAAUGUAAGAGUUUGUAGUUAUUUUGCAAUCAAAUAAACAUUUAUUUGCUGUUAACAAUGGUCUUGAUUUACAAUAAAGCACAUGAUAAAAAUAACCCAGCAAGAAUAACCCAA
This is a non-coding RNA of Misgurnus anguillicaudatus (oriental weatherfish), 1053 nucleotides long. NCBI's taxonomy places the organism in Eukaryota, Metazoa, Chordata, Actinopteri, Cypriniformes, Cobitidae. The record is from RefSeq and is a predicted model, not a curated record.